GGUGACUCAGUGUUUGAGUGCUUGCCUUGCAUGCAUGAGGCCCUGGGUUCGAUUCCUCAGCACCA
This 65-nucleotide transfer RNA is filed under the name Dipodomys ordii (Ord's kangaroo rat). It matches the Rfam family "tRNA". Rfam says of the family: Transfer RNA (tRNA) molecules are approximately 80 nucleotides in length. Their secondary structure includes four short double-helical elements and three loops (D, anti-codon, and T loops). The record is from Rfam by way of RNAcentral. Lineage: Eukaryota; Metazoa; Chordata; Mammalia; Rodentia; Heteromyidae.